RNAcentral lists this ribosomal RNA (1964 nucleotides) under human gut metagenome. RNAcentral describes it as "bacterial LSU rRNA". It matches the Rfam family "Bacterial large subunit ribosomal RNA", at positions 3 to 1983 of the family's 2925-position model. The record is from RNAcentral.
UCAAGCUAAAAAGAGCGCAGGGUGGAUGCCUUGGCACUAAGAGCCGAUGAAAGACGUGAUAAGCUGCGAUAAGCUACGGGGAGGAGCACAUAUCCAUUGAUCCGUAGAUUUCUGAAUGGGGAAACCCGGCUGAGCAUACCUCAGUCACCGUACACUGAAUCCAUAGGUGUACGGAGGGAACCCGGUGAACUGAAACAUCUAAGUAGCCGGAGGAAGAGAAAGAAAACUCGAUUUUCAAAGUAGCGGCGAGCGAAAUGGAAAGAGCCCAAACCGGAGUGCGUGCACUCCGGGGUUCGGACUGCAUUUAUGACUUCUGACUGUAGCGGAACGGUUCUGGAAAGACCGGCCAGAGAGGGUGAGAGCCCCGUAGGCGAAACGGAAAGAAGCAGAGCAGGAUCCAGAGUACCACGAGACACGAGAAACCUUGUGGGAAUGAGCGGGGACCACCCCGUAAGGCUAAAUACUCCUUAGUGACCGAUAGAGCAGAGUACUGUGAAGGAAAGGUGAAAAGGACCCCGGGAGGGGAGUGAAAGAGAACCUGAAACCCUGUGUUUACAAACUGUGGAAGUACCAUACGAGUACAACCGCGUACUUUUUGUAGAACGGUCCGGCGAGUUACGUUUACUGGCGAGGUUAAGCACUUAAGGUGCGGAGCCGAAGGGAUACCAAGUCUUAACAGGGCGCAUAGCUUCUUACGAAGCAUUAGUCAGUGUACGUAGACCCGAAACCGGGUGAUCUACCCAUGUCCAGGCUGAAGUUGCCGUAAAAGGCAAUGGAGGGCCGAACGCACAUCCGUUGAAAAGGGUGGCGAUGAGGUGUGGGUAGGGGAGAAAUUCCAAUCGAACCCGGAGAUAGCUGGUUCUCCUCGAAAUAGCUUUAGGGCUAGCCUCGUUUUAGUCUUAUGGAGGUAGAGCACUGAAUUUCCGCGGGGGCGUCAAAGCUUACCAAAGAAUAUCAAACUCCGAAUGCCAUGUAGAUGAUGAACGGGAGUCAGACUGCACGAGAUAAGUUGGGCAGUCAAAAGGGAAAGAGCCCAGACCGCCAGCUAAGGUCCCAAAGUGUGUGUUAAGUGGAAAAGGAUGUGGGAUUUCAAAGACAACUAGGAUGUUGGCUCAGAAGCAGCCACACAUUCAAAGAGUGCGUAACAGCUCACUAGUCGAGAGGUCCUGCGCCGAAAAUGUCCGGGGCUGAAACACAACACCGAAGCUGCGGAAUUGCGAAUGCAAUUGGUAGAGGAGCAUUCUUAAUACCGACGAAGCUGUACCGGAAGGAGCAGUGGAGGGAUAAGAAGAGAGAAUGCCGGAAUGAGUAGCGAGAGAGAGGUGAGAAUCCUCUCGGCCGAAUAUCCAAGGUUUCCAGAGUAAAGCUGAUCUGCUCUGGGUAAGUCGGGGCCUAAGGAGAGGUCGAAAGACGUAUCCGAUGGACAACAGGUUUAGAUUCCUGUACCACAUAUGAACAGAACUGUGGGGACGCAUGUGGAGAGCACGAGCCGGGAAUGGAAAUACCGGUACAAGCGGAGAAGGAGUCUGGUUGGCAAAUCCGCCAGGCAAUCCGAAGACGUGAUGUGGAGCGAAUUAGAGUAGCGAAGCGUGUGAGCCAUGUGCCGAGAAAAGCCGCUAUUGUUUCAUGUGUGCCCGUACCGUAAACCGACACAGGUGGAUGAGGAGAGAAUCCUAAGGCCGGCGGAAGAAGCAUUGUUAAGGAACUCGGCAAAAUGACCCCGUAACUUCGGGAGAAGGGGUGCCUGCUAACGCAGGCCGCAGAGAAUAGGCUCAAGCAACUGUUUAGCAAAAACACAGGUCUAUGCGAAACCGAAAGGUGAAGUAUAUGGGCUGACGCCUGCCCGGUGCUGGAAGGUUAAGAGGAGAGGUUAGCGCAAGCGAAGCUUUGAAUUUAAGCCCCAGUAAACGGCGGCCGUAACUAUAACGGUCCUAAGGUAGCGAAAUUCCUUGUCGGGUAAGUUC